Molecule: ribosomal RNA, 253 nt
Filed under: uncultured bacterium
Lineage: Bacteria
Description: partial 16S ribosomal RNA
Rfam family: Bacterial small subunit ribosomal RNA
Source: RNAcentral
UACGGAGGGUGCAAGCGUUAUCCGGAUUCACUGGGUUUAAAGGGUGCAUAGGUGGGCAGUUAAGUCAGUGGUGAAAUCUCCGGGCUCAACCCGGAAACUGCCAUUGAUACUAUCUGUCUUGAAUAUCGUGGAGGUAAGCGGAAUAUGUCAUGUAGCGGUGAAAUGCUUAGAUAUGACAUAGAACACCAAUUGCGAAGGCAGCUUACUACCCGAAUAUUGACACUGAGGCACGAAAGCGUGGGGAUCAAACAGG